AUGGCCGUCGUUGAUAUCGUCGGGGAUCCACCCGGGCCGCCCGCCCCUCGUCAUUGCGCGCACCACGACGGCCACGAGCGCCGAGCUCGCGUAGUUGCCCAGCGCAAACGCCGCGCUGGAGAGCCCCGAGCAGACGUUCCGCAUGGCGUCCGGCGCCUGGUCAUAGAAGAACUCCAUCUGCCCGAUGAACGUGAACACCUCUGCGGCACCCACCACCACGUACUGCGGCACCUGCCAGAAGAUCGACAUCGGCACAUACCCCGCGCCGUCCUCGCCGGUGUAGGUGCCGUGGCGCGCGACGACGCGGCGCCGCGCCACCUCGAGCGUGCCGGCGGCGAGCAUGGCAACAGUGAGGAUGACGAAGCCCACACCCAUGCCGUCGUCCCCGUCACACUCGUGCAGCAGCGUGGCGUCGGUCGGGAUCUCCACGUCGCACUUCCUGGCGGCGGCGACCACCACCUGCGCGAUCCUGGUGAGCGGGCUGCCGCCGGGGGGCUGGUGGCGGCGGUACGCGCCCGUGCCGGCGAGGAACAGAGCGACGGCGAGCACGCUGAGCAGCGCCGGGAUGCCGUAGCCGAGCCGCCAGCCGUGGGCGGACUGCACCCACACCAGGACGGUGCCGCCCACGAGCGAGCCCACGACAAUGGACAGGUAGAACCAGUUGAAGAAGGAGCUCUGCCGCCGGCGCUCCUCCUCGUCGGACUCGGCGUCGAACUGGUCGGCCCCGAACGACGACAGGACCGGCUGCAGCGCGCCGCCCAGCGCCACCAGGUACAGCCCCGCGUAGAACACCGCGCUCGCCGCCACGACGCCGUACCCCGCGACGGAGAUGAAGAGGAAGAGGGUGAUGGUCCAGUACCUGCCGAGGAAAGAGUCGGCGAGGAAGCCGGCCGCGAGCGGCGUGAUGGAGGCGGUGCCCUGCCAGUUGGUGACGCUGUUCGCCGCGGCCUUGCUGCCGGAGUGCAGCUGGACCUUGAGGAAGUUCACCAGGUUCGUCGACACGCCGUAGUAAGCGCUGUACUGGAGGCAGUUGUUCACUGCACACCACGCGCGCGUGAAUGCAUGAGCAGCAUAUUUAGCGUGGAUCUAGGUGGAUCAUAG
RNAcentral lists this ribosomal RNA (1101 nucleotides) under Triticum aestivum (bread wheat). RNAcentral describes it as "partial small subunit ribosomal RNA". Lineage: Eukaryota; Viridiplantae; Streptophyta; Magnoliopsida; Poales; Poaceae. The record is from RNAcentral.